UGGGGAGGGGGUGGGGGCGGGGGCGGCGGGGAGAAGAGAAAAGAAAGGGAACGAAGCAGCAGAACGUCCUUGAGCGGAGGCCGGGAGCCGGCGUCCCCGCGGCCGGCAGAGGCAGAGGCGAGGAGGGGACAGCAGGCAGGGCCGCCUUGGGCUGGGUGGUGCCUGCGCUGGGGGCCACGGGGCGUCUGGUCGCUGCCGGCUGCGCUGUGACCCCGAGGUCGGUGACGGCCGCACCCACCAGCGCUGCGCACGGCAGCUUUCACCGCGCGCCCUGCCUGGGUUCCCAGAGGCCAGGCGGGCUCUUGGGGAGCGGAGCAGAGCACAGCCUCGCCCGCACGGCCCCAUCCCCUCGCGGGACCGCUGAAGCCACGGCGGUGCAGACGGUGCCAGCCGCAGUGUUAGGGCUGACAACAAGGUCUUGCUAUGUGGCCCAGGCUAGCCUCAAACUCACAUGGAUCCUCCUGAUCCUCCUGCCUCAGCCUCCCGAGUGCCGGGAUUCCAGGUCGGCAGUACACACCCGGCUAGAGGAGUCUACUAUAAAUAUGGGCGGAGUCUAUCUUUACAGGACCACGCCCAGCAGGUACUUGCUGCAGACUCCAGAGCUCUCUUCUGCCGCCUUGGGUGACAGAGGCUACAUUUCGAGCUUCACAGCCGCGGGGACGCACGGCUCCAGGCUCUGCCGCCCGGCUCUGCUCUGCUCCAUCUCGCUGAAACAGCGCGGAGCCGCCAGCCUCGGGCCACACUUGGCACCUUCGGGCGGCGGGUGUCAGCGACUGAGUCUCAGUGACAAGGAGGAGACUGCGGUGCUCACAGCUUGAGAAACACCGGUUUGGAUUUCUUUUCUCUUUCUUCUUGGUUUUAUAAUAAAUCACCUGGGAAGCUCUGGGAAAAAAAAAAAAAAAAACCGGGCCAGCUGAAACCAGGCCAAGCAAGCUCGACAUGCCCUUGGGCUUGGGUCUCAGGGCCACUCAGCCCCGGCCUGUCCCUUUCCCGUCAGCCCCUCGGCCUCUGUCCCCUCGCCUGGCCGCCCGGCCACAGCACAGCGAGCCCCGGGCACGGAGAGCAGGACGGCGCGCGCUCCGGAUGCGGCACCACCGCGAAUCGCCACCCAGCAGGCGCCGGGCCGCAGGAGCUGCUGGGGGGAAAGGAAAGCUCUGCGUCCCCGGGGAAGACAGGGGAGUCUGCUGGGCUUCGUGUUUGCUUUCUGGAGAGGGCGGGAUGGGAGCAGAGAAGCUGGUGUUGGGGGAAACUUCACCCAACAACGCUCGAUCUAGACCUCACCCCUCCAAUCCCUUUCAAACAAAUAAAUGAUGAGAAAAC
This 1320-nucleotide long non-coding RNA is filed under the name Chinchilla lanigera (long-tailed chinchilla). RNAcentral describes it as "lncRNA (ENSCLAG00000023343.1)". Lineage: Eukaryota; Metazoa; Chordata; Mammalia; Rodentia; Chinchillidae. The record is from RNAcentral.